Molecule: RNA transcript, 1617 nt
Organism: Amaranthus tricolor (Joseph's coat)
Lineage: Eukaryota; Viridiplantae; Streptophyta; Magnoliopsida; Caryophyllales; Amaranthaceae
Gene name: protein ASYMMETRIC LEAVES 2
Exons: 4
Source: RefSeq, a predicted model, not a curated record
AAUCAAUCAUCAUCACCAUUAAAUUUUUUUGUCAUCCAUCAAAAACACACACAAAAACAAAACCAUUCCUAAUUCCUUCUGCUAUGCCCUAACAAUAGCUGUCUAUAUAUCUUCUCUUCACUUUCUCCGCGCCUCCUUAGCCUUUGCUCUUGGGGGUGCAUUUUACAAUUUACAAACAUCUUUUCUUUUUCAUUUUUUUUUAUUUUUCUCUCUCUAAAACAAUUUCUAUUUCUAUUUCUAUUUCUAUUUUUAAAUUAAUUAAUUUAAUAAUUAUCAUCAUCUUUAUCUUUGCAAAGUUUUCCGGUGAGAUUUGAUGGUUUCACGGCGGAGAAUUCGGAAGCCCUUCAAACUUGCAUGAUCUCCUCUCUUUCCUCUUUCUUUUCAUUCCUUUUUACCCCUUAUCUUACCAACUAAAGAAGCCUUCAAAGCUUGAGAUAAUUUAAGUUCAAAUCUGGUGAAAGCUGCUGAUUAAUCAUAAAAAGAUAAAAAUAAAAAAAUAAAAAACAGGUGGGUGCUACUACUACUACUAGGUAGCUCCUUCUGAAAUCCAUCAAGCUAGAGUUCUAAAAAGAACAACAUUCAUCUCAACUGUUUCUGAAAGUGAGAUCAAAUCUUUGCAGUCUGUUUUCUUCAUUUCUUCUUUUUAUAAGGAAUUUCGAGGGAAAACUUUUGAAAAACAAAAAAGUGAUCCAAAAAUGGCGUCUUCGUCUAAUUCACCGUGUGCAGCAUGCAAGUUUCUGAGGAGAAAGUGUCAACCAGAAUGCGUUUUUGCGCCCUAUUUUCCACCUGACCAACCACAAAAGUUUGCAAACGUGCACAAAGUGUUUGGUGCUAGUAACGUCACCAAGCUUCUCAACGAGCUCCACCCGCACCAGCGGGAGGACGCCGUCAACUCCUUAGCGUACGAAGCCGAUAUGCGGCUUCGCGAUCCGGUUUACGGCUGUGUCGGCGUUAUUUCCUUACUCCAACACCAACUCCGCCAGCUUCAGAUGGAUUUAUCUUGUGCGCGUUCUGAACUUUCUAAGUAUCAGAACUUCGCAUUCCCAAGCGGGGGUGGGGUUUUAUCAGUUUCUGCGGUAGCGAGUUCAGUCGCUUCCGCAGCAACUAAUAACACCCACCACCAGAUCCCUUCCCAAUCUCUUGGGAUAAAUCUCCUCGGACUUAGUGGUGGUGGGGGUUUAGGUGCUGGACCGAGGGACCAGCACCAGUUAUACUCCCACCACCAGUUUUUUCCGAGCAACCACCAGACGAGUGGUCUCAUCAACAGUUUAAGGGGGUUCGACAUGGCGGUAGCCGGUGGUGGUGGAAACCAUGGAUAUGAUGCCGGUGGUCUUCUUGCUAUGAAUAUGAAUGUCUCGGCCGCAUCGGGGAUCGGACAGCUAGGUCAGCUUCAUCAACAACCUACUGCUAGGACUGCCGGAGGUGAUGACCGCCGGAGUAUUGAUCCAUCUUAAUUUUAGGGUUUCUGGGAUUUUUAUGUCAUGGCUAGCUUUUACUCAAACCCUACCACAGGAUUGCAAGCUUUGAUUUAUGCAAGAGAUUUCAAUAUUUUGAGAGAAGAGACUCAAAGAUCAAUUAAAGCAAGAUACAUAUUAUAAAAGGAUAAAUGCAAGAGGA